AGGGUUCGGCCCUCGGCUGACGGCUCAGUAACACGUGGAUAAUCUGCCCUUAGGUGGAGGAUAAUCUCGGGAAACUGAGGAUAAUACUCCAUAAAUCUAGGAUGCUGGAAUGCAUCUAGAUUGAAAGCUCCGGCGCCUAAGGAUGAGUCUGCGGACUAUCAGGUUGUAGUCAGGGUAAAGACCUGACUAGCCUACGACGGAUACGGGUUGUGAGAGCAAUAACCCGGAGACGAUAUCUGAGACACGAUAUCGGGCCCUACGGGGCGCAGCAGGCGCGAAAACUUCACACUGUGCGAAAGCGCGAUGAGGGAAUCCCAAGUGUUUGCUCGUAAGAGUAAACUGUUUCUUUGUUUAAAACGCAAAGAGAGUAGGGGCUGGGUAAGACGGGUGCCAGCCGCCGCGGUAAUACCUGCAGCUCGAGUGGUGAUCAUUAUUAUUGGGCCUAAAACGUCCGUAGCCGGUCUAGUAAAUGCCUGGGUAAAUCGUGUAGCUUAACUAUACGACUUCCGGGUAGACUGCUAAACUUGAGACCGGGAGAGGCUAGAGGUACUCCUGGGGUAGAGGUGAAAUUCUGUAAUCCUAGGGGGACCACCAGUGGCGAAGGCGUUCUAGCUAGAACGGGUCUGACGGUGAGGGACGA
RNAcentral lists this ribosomal RNA (640 nucleotides) under uncultured archaeon. RNAcentral describes it as "bacterial SSU rRNA". It matches the Rfam family "Archaeal small subunit ribosomal RNA", at positions 63 to 707 of the family's 1478-position model. The record is from RNAcentral.